Molecule: long non-coding RNA, 1084 nt
Organism: Nycticebus coucang (slow loris)
Lineage: Eukaryota; Metazoa; Chordata; Mammalia; Primates; Lorisidae
Exons: 3
Source: RefSeq, a predicted model, not a curated record
GCCCGGGCCGCUGCCUCCGUCGGACGCGGCGCGCGCGACCGUGCGGAGCUGGGCAGGGGCUGCUGCGAGCACGCGGGGCGGCAUUAGACGUAAUCUCACUAUGUCAUCCUCAGUAGAGUGCCAUGGUGUCACAGCUCUCAGCAACCUCAAACUCUUGGGCUUCAGUGAUUCUCUCACCUCAGCCUGCCAAGUAGCUGGGACUACAGGUUGAGGUGGCCGUGUCUGACCAAGAUGUAAACAGGAGUUGCGUGGAAUUUCCAGGUGAUGUCCUUAAAGGGAAAGGGCUCUUCUACUUUUCUCCUUCCUCUAGGCUGCAAUGUGAAUUUAAUACCUGGAGCAUGAACAGCCUUGGACUCUGAAGUAGAAGCCAUGUGCUGAGAAAGAUAGAGCCAGGGAUAGGAACCUGGUUUCCUGGCACCACGGGAAGGCAUGUCAGCUUUGGUGAGACUCCCUCCAGCUCUUUUAUGUGAGAGAGAAAAUGGUCUGCUAUUUUGGUAAGCCCCUGCAAUUUUGGAUUGUCUGUUACUCAUAGCUAAACUUAAUUCAAAUUGAUGAACUCUCAAAUAUGGAAAGAAAUGAUCUCCUUUUGAAAAUACACCAUAUGUGCGCCAAUUAGCUUGGGCUAAUUGUACCACCUCCAUGAAAUGUGGUACCCAUUUCACGAAGUAAUUCAAAUCUGAUGUUCCCAGAGUAAAUAAUAAUAACAUAGCUCAUUCCAAUUUCUUUCUGAGGACAUCAGUACCUCGAAUCUGAUGUUUACUUCCUUUGAAGGAAUAGCAGGUCUAGACAAGUGGGAAUAGGGUAUCUAAAGCAAAUUCAAAGUUGGUUAAAAAGACAAAACAAAAAACAAAUUCAUUUUCAGUUCUGUGUCCAAUAGAAUUGUGAAACAAUCAGCAUAAUGGGUAAUUUGUGUUCUGAUGAAUUCAAAAGAUUAAGUGUUAAAUUAGUAAAUAAUAAGUGAAUUUUGCCUUAUAGUGGAUUGCUUAUGGAGUGCUGGUUAUGUUUUAUUUCUUGACCUGGAUGGUAACUGCAUAUUUUUGCCUUGUAAUUAUCAAUUAAACUGUAUGUAUAUUUGUGUUCUUUU